This 771-nucleotide ribosomal RNA is filed under the name uncultured bacterium. RNAcentral describes it as "bacterial SSU rRNA". It matches the Rfam family "Bacterial small subunit ribosomal RNA", at positions 8 to 774 of the family's 1533-position model. The record is from RNAcentral.
AGAGUUUGAUCAUGGCUCAGAUUGAACGCUGGCGGCAUGCCUUACACAUGCAAGUCGAACGGCAGCACGGGGGCAACCCUGGUGGCGAGUGGCGAACGGGUGAGUAAUACAUCGGAACGUGUCCUGUAGUGGGGGAUAGCCCGGCGAAAGCCGGAUUAAUACCGCAUACGCUCUACGGAGGAAAGGGGGGGAUCUUAGGACCUCCCGCUACAGGGGCGGCCGAUGGCAGAUUAGCUAGUUGGUGGGGUAAAGGCCUACCAAGGCGACGAUCUGUAGCUGGUCUGAGAGGACGACCAGCCACACUGGGACUGAGACACGGCCCAGACUCCUACGGGAGGCAGCAGUGGGGAAUUUUGGACAAUGGGGGCAACCCUGAUCCAGCAAUGCCGCGUGUGUGAAGAAGGCCUUCGGGUUGUAAAGCACUUUUGUCCGGAAAGAAAACGCCGUGGUUAAUACCCGUGGCGGAUGACGGUACCGGAAGAAUAAGCACCGGCUAACUACGUGCCAGCAGCCGCGGUAAUACGUAGGGUGCAAGCGUUAAUCGGAAUUACUGGGCGUAAAGCGUGCGCAGGCGGUCCGCUAAGACAGAUGUGAAAUCCCCGGGCUUAACCUGGGAACUGCAUUUGUGACUGGCGGGCUAGAGUAUGGCAGAGGGGGGUAGAAUUCCACGUGUAGCAGUGAAAUGCGUAGAGAUGUGGAGGAAUACCGAUGGCGAAGGCAGCCCCCUGGGCCAAUACUGACGCUCAUGCACGAAAGCGUGGGGAGCAAACA